GAUGAACGCUGGCGGCGUGCCUAAUACAUGCAAGUCGAGCGAACAGACGAGGAGCUUGCUCCUCUGACGUUAGCGGCGGACGGGUGAGUAACACGUGGAUAACCUACCUAUAAGACUGGGAUAACUUCGGGAAACCGGAGCUAAUACCGGAUAAUAUAUUGAACCGCAUGGUUCAAUAGUGAAAGACGGUUUUGCUGUCACUUAUAGAUGGAUCCGCGCCGCAUUAGCUAGUUGGUAAGGUAACGGCUUACCAAGGCAACGAUGCGUAGCCGACCUGAGAGGAUGAUCGGCCACACGGGAACUGAGACACGGUCCAGACUCCUAGGGGAGGCAGCAGUGGGGAAUAUCGGACAAGGGGCGAAAGCCUGAUGGAGCCAUCCCGCGUGGGUGAAGAAGGUCUUCGGAUUGUAAAGCUCUUUUGUUGGGAAAGAAAAGAAGUAGAUUAAUAUCGCGCUGUUGUGACGGUACCAAAAGAAAAAGCACCGGCUAACUUCGUG
Molecule: ribosomal RNA, 497 nt
Filed under: uncultured bacterium
Lineage: Bacteria
Description: partial 16S ribosomal RNA
Rfam family: Bacterial small subunit ribosomal RNA
Source: RNAcentral